UCGGGAAUUUUGGGCAAUGGGCGAAAGCCUGACCCAGCAACGCCGCGUGAAGGAUGAAGUAUUUCGGUAUGUAAACUUCGAAAGAAUAGGAAGAAUAAAUGACGGUACUAUUUAUAAGGUCCGGCUAACUACGUGCCAGCAGCCGCGGUAAUACGUAGGGACCAAGCGUUGUUCGGAUUUACUGGGCGUAAAGGGCGCGUAGGCGGCAAUUCAAGUCAUCUGUGAAAUCUCCGGGCUUAACUCGGAACGGUCAGAUGAUACUGCUUUGCUAGAGUGCAGAAGGGGCAAUCGGAAUUCUUGGUGUAGCGGUGAAAUGCGUAGAUAUCAAGAGGAACACCUGAGGUGAAGACGGGUUGCUGGGCUGACACUGACGCUGAGGCGCGAAAGCCAGGGGAGCAAACGGGAUUAGAUACCCACGUAUUCCCUGAGCGGGCUGGCAAGGCGCAU
This 447-nucleotide ribosomal RNA is filed under the name uncultured bacterium. RNAcentral's name for it is "bacterial SSU rRNA". It matches the Rfam family "Bacterial small subunit ribosomal RNA", at positions 355 to 825 of the family's 1533-position model. The record is from RNAcentral.